UACGUAGGGGGCUAGCGUUGUCCGGAAUCAUUGGGCGUAAAGAGCGUGUAGGCGGUCCGGUAAGUCCGCUGUGAAAGUCGGGGGCUCAACCCUCGAAUGCCGGUGGAUACUGUCGGGCUAGAGUGCGGAAGAGGCGAGUGGAAUUCCUGGUGUAGCGGUGAAAUGCGCAGAUAUCGGGAGGAACACCAGUAGCGAAGGCGGCUCGCUGGGCCAUUCCUGACGCUGAGACGCGAAAGCUAGGGGAGCGAACAGG
Molecule: ribosomal RNA, 253 nt
Filed under: uncultured bacterium
Lineage: Bacteria
Description: partial 16S ribosomal RNA
Rfam family: Bacterial small subunit ribosomal RNA
Source: RNAcentral